This 439-nucleotide ribosomal RNA is filed under the name uncultured bacterium. Its description in RNAcentral is "partial 16S ribosomal RNA". It matches the Rfam family "Bacterial small subunit ribosomal RNA", at positions 339 to 795 of the family's 1533-position model. The record is from RNAcentral.
CUACGGGCGGCUGCAGUGAGGAAUAUUGCACAAUGGGGGGAACCCUGAUGCAGCAACGCCGCGUGGAGGAUGACGCAUUUCGGUGUGUAAACUCCUUUUAUAUGUCAAGAAAAUGACGGUAGCAUAUGAAUAAGCACCGGCUAACUCCGUGCCAGCAGCCGCGGUAAUACGGAGGGUGCAAGCGUUACUCGGAAUCACUGGGCGUAAAGGACGCGUAGGCGGGUUGGAAAGUCAGGUGUGAAAUCCUACAGCUUAACUGUAGAACUGCACUUGAAACUUCUAAUCUAGAGUAUGGGAGGGGGAGAUGGAGUUAGUGGUGUAGGGGUAAAGUCCGUAGAUAUCACUAGGAAUACCUAAAGCGAAGGCGAUCUCCUGGAACAUUACUGACGCUAAGGCGUGAAAGCGUGGGGAGCAAACAGGAUUAGAUACCCUAGUAGUC